RNAcentral lists this ribosomal RNA (1301 nucleotides) under Streptomyces sp. KE1. Its description in RNAcentral is "bacterial LSU rRNA". It matches the Rfam family "Bacterial large subunit ribosomal RNA", at positions 1 to 1216 of the family's 2925-position model. Lineage: Bacteria; Bacillati; Actinomycetota; Actinomycetes; Kitasatosporales; Streptomycetaceae. The record is from RNAcentral.
ACAGUGGACGCGAGCAUCUGUGGCCAAGUUUUUAAGGGCGCACGGUGGAUGCCUUGGCACCAGGAACCGAUGAAGGACGUGGGAGGCCACGAUAGUCCCCGGGGAGUCGUCAACCAGGCUUUGAUCCGGGGGUUUCCGAAUGGGGAAACCCGGCAGUCGUCAUGGGCUGUCACCCGCUGCUGAACUCAUAGGCAGUGUGGAGGGAACGCGGGGAAGUGAAACAUCUCAGUACCCGCAGGAAGAGAAAACAACCGUGAUUCCGGGAGUAGUGGCGAGCGAAACUGGAUGAGGCCAAACCGUAUGUGUGUGAUACCCGGCAGGGGUUGCGCAUGCGGGGUUGUGGGAUCUCUCUUCCACGGUCUGCCGGCCGUGGGACGAGUCAGAAACCGUUGAUGUAGGCGAAGGACAUGCGAAAGGUCCGGCGUAGAGGGUAAGACCCCCGUAGUCGAAACAUUAGCGGCUCGUUUGAGAGACACCCAAGUAGCACGGGGCCCGAGAAAUCCCGUGUGAAUCUGGCGGGACCACCCGCUAAGCCUAAAUAUUCCCUGGUGACCGAUAGCGGAUAGUACCGUGAGGGAAUGGUGAAAAGUACCGCGGGAGCGGAGUGAAAUAGUACCUGAAACCGUGUGCCUACAAGCCGUGGGAGCGUCGCGCAUCGAGUCUUGCUCGGUGCGUCGUGACUGCGUGCCUUUUGAAGAAUGAGCCUGCGAGUUAGCGGUGUGUAGCGAGGUUAACCCGUGUGGGGAAGCCGUAGCGAAAGCGAGUCCGAAGAGGGCGUUUGAGUUGCACGCUCUAGACCCGAAGCGGAGUGAUCUAGCCAUGGGCAGGUUGAAGCGGCUGUAAGAGGUCGUGGAGGACCGAACCCACCAGGGUUGAAAACCUGGGGGAUGACCUGUGGUUAGGGGUGAAAGGCCAAUCAAACUCCGUGAUAGCUGGUUCUCCCCGAAAUGCAUUUAGGUGCAGCGUCGUGUGUUUCUUGCCGGAGGUAGAGCACUGGAUAGGCGAUGGGCCCUACCGGGUUACUGACCUUAGCCAAACUCCGAAUGCCGGUAAGUGAGAGCGCGGCAGUGAGACUGUGGGGGAUAAGCUCCAUGGUCGAGAGGGAAACAGCCCAGAGCAUCGACUAAGGCCCCUAAGCGUACGCUAAGUGGGAAAGGAUGUGGAGUCGCAGAGACAACCAGGAGGUUGGCUUAGAAGCAGCCACCCUUGAAAGAGUGCGUAAUAGCUCACUGGUCUAGUGAUUCCGCGCCGACAAUGUAGCGGGGCUCAAGCGUACCGCCGAAGUCGUGUCAUUGCAGCAA